CAGUCGCCGCGGUAAGACAGAGGAUGCAAGCGUUAAUCGGAAUUACUGGGCGUAAAGCGCGCGUAGGUGGUUUGUUAAGUUGGAUGUGAAAGCCCCGGGCUCAACCUGGGAACUGCAUCCAAAACUGGCAAGCUAGAGUACGGUAGAGGGUGGUGGAAUUUCCUGUGUAGCGGUGAAAUGCGUAGAUAUAGGAAGGAACACCAGUGGCGAAGGCGACCACCUGGACUGAUACUGACACUGAGGUGCGAAAGCGUGGGGAGCAAACAGGAUUAGAUACCCCCGUAGUCCCUGUCUCUUAUAC
RNAcentral lists this ribosomal RNA (301 nucleotides) under uncultured bacterium. Its description in RNAcentral is "partial 16S ribosomal RNA". It matches the Rfam family "Bacterial small subunit ribosomal RNA", at positions 509 to 807 of the family's 1533-position model. The record is from RNAcentral.